This 69-nucleotide transfer RNA is filed under the name Boana marginata (Mundo Novo treefrog). Its description in RNAcentral is "tRNA-Val". It matches the Rfam family "tRNA". Rfam says of the family: Transfer RNA (tRNA) molecules are approximately 80 nucleotides in length. Their secondary structure includes four short double-helical elements and three loops (D, anti-codon, and T loops). Lineage: Eukaryota; Metazoa; Chordata; Amphibia; Anura; Hylidae. The record is from RNAcentral.
CAAACUGUAGCUUAAACAAAGCAUCUCGCUUACACCGAGAAAAUGCCUGAUGACCCCGGGCCACUUUGA